GUCUGUCUCUUGUACACUUGAACAAGAUUAAGUGCAGUAUCUGUCCUUACCAGAUUAAUAUCUGAAAUGACCUCUGUUGAGAGGAAAAUUUCUUUUGGUCUGGUGCUGGAAUGGGCUGCCCAGGGAGGUAUCCAAGGUAUCACUUUCCCUGGAGGUGUCCAAGAAUC
Molecule: small nuclear RNA, 167 nt
Filed under: Coturnix japonica (Japanese quail)
Lineage: Eukaryota; Metazoa; Chordata; Aves; Galliformes; Phasianidae
Description: U2 spliceosomal RNA (ENSCJPG00005004161.1)
Rfam family: U2 spliceosomal RNA
About the family: U2 is a small nuclear RNA (snRNA) component of the spliceosome (involved in pre-mRNA splicing).
Source: RNAcentral